GAUGAACGCUGGCGGCGUGCUUAACGCAUGCAAGUCGAGCGAGAAGUUUCGAAAAGAUUCUUCGGAUGAAAUUUAAAAUGGAAAGCGGCGGACGGGUGAGUAACGCGUAGGCAACCUGCCCCAUACAAAGGGAUAGCAUUUGGAAACGAAUAUUAAUACCUUAUGAAACUUAACUAGUGCAUGCUAGGUAGGUCAAAGAUUUAUCGGUAUGGGAUGGGCCUGCGUCUGAUUAGCUAGUUGGUGAGGUAACGGCUCACCAAGGCGACGAUCAGUAGCCGACCUGAGAGGGUGAACGGCCACAUUGGAACUGAGACACGGUCCAAACUCCUACGGGAGGCAGCAGUGGGGAAUAUUGCACAAUGGGGGAAACCCUGAUGCAGCAACGCCGCGUGAACGAUGAAGGCCUUUGGGUCGUAAAGUUCUGUUCUAGGUGAUGAAAACUGACAGUAACCGAGGAGAAAGCCCCGGCUAACUCCGUG
This 479-nucleotide ribosomal RNA is filed under the name uncultured bacterium. RNAcentral's name for it is "partial 16S ribosomal RNA". It matches the Rfam family "Bacterial small subunit ribosomal RNA", at positions 28 to 507 of the family's 1533-position model. The record is from RNAcentral.